Molecule: ribosomal RNA, 542 nt
Filed under: uncultured fungus
Lineage: Eukaryota; Fungi
Description: eukaryotic LSU rRNA
Rfam family: 5.8S ribosomal RNA (bases 191-345)
Source: RNAcentral
AGUCGUAACAAGGUUUCCGUAGGUGAACCUGCGGAAGGAUCAUUAACAAGUCUGCUGUCUGUUCUUGUGCUGGCGUAGAAGCACCCCUUCUGCGUCAAGUGCAAGGACGACAUUUGUUCCAUGUUGCACGUUCACUCUGCACAUGACACUCUACGAAUCAUCUGAUCAUCGACAAUGUUCAUAAACUAAUAACUUUUAACAAUGGAUCUCUAGGCUCCUGCAUCGAUGAAGAACGCAGUGAAGUGCGAAAAGUAAUGCGAUUUGCAUGCUCUGUGAGUCAUCGAAUCUUUGAACGCAUAUGGCACCUCUUGGUUCCUACUAAGAGGUAUGCCUGUUUGAGAAUCAUUCAUCCCUUUUGAUCCAUUGGGUCACGCAUCCACUUUGGCUGUUGAUCCCAGUUGGUCAAGACAUGGGACCUUCAUCACUGAUCGUCUUGAAUGCAGGCACGGGUUGUUCGUGAGAGUGGAAGCCAAUUUUAUUGAUCGACCAAUCCCCAUUAUCCCAGUGAUCUCAAAUCAGGCAAGACUACCCGCUGAACUUAA